UCUUCGACAGGGAGGUGGACUGGGAGCGUGAGAAACGGUUGUAUGUCCAUUCGGUCACCAGACACAUAAAUGAGAAAUCAGGAUCAGGCCAAGAUGUCAUGGCUGAGCUGAUGAACCUGAUGACCCAUGUGGCUGACCAGACACCGGACACAAAUGGCAGACAGUGGCAGCAUCCCUCUGACCUCACACGCAGAAACUACCAAAGACGGUUUGGAAACAUGACGCCAACAAUGGCCCUCUGUGAAUGGCAGGCCAAGAAUUUUACAGCACACAAGCGCUUUGCCAAGGUCCCAAAAAUCUUUGAAAGAAGUCCAUUUCCCUAAAUUAGGCGUUGUGGAAUCUUCUUGUGAACAGAUGGCACUUAACUUCUUAAGAGAUCUUAAGUUGUACCAGGUAUGAAGUGGGCCUCAGAUCAAUGUUUGCACUAGUUUUGCUUAGUUGAAUUUGUGGUGUUUAUUUUUGGUUUGUCAGUUUGAGUGUUCCUCUGUAUUUUUCUUUUGAACUAUGCAUGUAUGUGUAUAUAAAAUUAAUGCAUGUUUUGGUGUUAUAAUACUGACCUUUAGUGCGUUGUCUUUUUACUGUAAGAACUAUGCCUGUUUUAAUGUGAAUAUAAGUAUGUCUUGUACUUCCAAGUUUAACAUUUGUACUUUUGUUGUGAGUGCCAGCGUAUUCCCUGCUCAUGGUUUACUUCCUCUGGAUAUGAUGCAAACAGUCCAGACCUAUACUGACAUGUUUCUCAACUGUUCCUGUUAAUUUCUUUCCUCUUAUACAUACAAUAGCCUCCCAUCAGUUUUUGUGGAUGAUCCUUCAAAUGACAGCAGCUAGCAGAAUAGAAAAUGAUAAAUGUAUUUAAGUUUAGGAGGCAUGUUGGAUUACAUUGUAUCAAGUGUUCCUGUUACGUUGUCCACCCUUGUACAUCAAGCCUCAUGUGUGGAUCAGAUGGGAGAUGUUGGUUUAAGGUGUAGUGCAGGGCAAAGCUGAGUAGAUGAUUAUGAAAGUCUGGAAAUGUUUACCAAGAGGUUUUAGUCCAGUCAUUCAUACAAACCUCUAGAGAUUUAUGUAAGCAGGCAUCUCUGCAUGUUUAACUCAAGACUGAGGAAACAAACAAAUAUUGGAUUACUUCUUUUUACAACAUGACAUUCAGCAUAUCUUUGAAUUUAUAAUGUGAUAUAAUGUUUUAGGCAGGCAGAAUUUGUUUAAGUUUUGUGCUCCAUACAUUGGCAUGGUGUUAGAUGGAAGUGUUUAUUAAGGUCAGUGCACCCAUAUCAUAUGAGCAUUUUUCAAUCAUACCCUAAGUUGUAAUGGGGGAAUGUGUCCGUUAAUAAUGUCCUGGCUAAUAUGGAUUUUCUCAGACCACUGGCCAUUUUUAACAACUUUAUUAUAUCUAAUAAAAUAGGAAAUCUGUUCACAACAAAGUCUGUCAAUUAUCCAUAACAAUCCAGAAACCCUGCUUUUCAGGUUUUCAAAAGUAAUUUUGUGAGGACCACAAACAAAAUUCCUUUGUACCUUCUUUUUGGGGUGUCAGCAGAAGUUUUAGUUGUGGAUAUUUAAAACCUGCCCACUAAUGUAAACACUACCACUAGGGGUUAAAUGGUCAAAUGUUUUAGUGAUUUGUGUGAACUGACCUUUUUAAUUAUAGAGCAGCAGUGACCACAAUGUACACCCAGCUUUGGUUAAACCCAUUGUAAGAAAAGUGUAAGUGCCACUGAGUGGAGAACUCUGUCCAUGGAGUCAGAGCAGGGCUGUUUGUGUGAGAGCGAGGCAGUGCUGUUGAUGAAGUACUCAAAAAUAAAGCCCACUCUGUUCAAUUUA
Molecule: long non-coding RNA, 1812 nt
Organism: Micropterus salmoides (largemouth bass)
Lineage: Eukaryota; Metazoa; Chordata; Actinopteri; Centrarchiformes; Centrarchidae
Exons: 3
Source: RefSeq, a predicted model, not a curated record